UGGGGAAUUUUGGACAAUGGGCGAAAGCCUGAUCCAGCAAUGCCGCGUGUGUGAAGAAGGCCUUCGGGUUGUAAAGCACUUUUGUCCGGAAAGAAAUCCUUGGCUCUAAUACAGUCGGGGGAUGACGGUACCGGAAGAAUAAGCACCGGCUAACUACGUGCCAGCAGCCGCGGUAAUACGUAGGGUGCAAGCGUUAAUCGGAAUUACUGGGCGUAAAGCGUGCGCAGGCGGUUUGCUAAGACCGAUGUGAGAUCCCCGGGCUCAACCUGGGAACUGCAUUGGUGACUGGCAGGCUAGAGUAUGGCAGAGGGGGGUAGAAUUCCACGUGUANCAGUGAAAUGCGUAGAGAUGUGGAGGAAUACCGAUGGCGAAGGCAGCCCCCUGGGCCAAUACUGACGCUCAUGCACGAAAAGCGUGGGGAGCAAAACAGGAUUAGAUACCCUGGUAGUCCACGCCCUAAACGAUGUCAACUAGUUGUUGGGGAUUCAUUUCCUUAGUAACGUAGCUAACGCGUGAAGUUGACCGCCUGGGGAGUACGGUCGCAAGAUUAAAACUCAAAGGAAUUGACGGGGUCAUAGCUGUUUCCU
RNAcentral lists this ribosomal RNA (587 nucleotides) under uncultured bacterium. RNAcentral's name for it is "partial 16S ribosomal RNA". It matches the Rfam family "Bacterial small subunit ribosomal RNA", at positions 355 to 1375 of the family's 1533-position model. The record is from RNAcentral.